RNAcentral lists this ribosomal RNA (501 nucleotides) under uncultured bacterium. RNAcentral describes it as "partial 16S ribosomal RNA". It matches the Rfam family "Bacterial small subunit ribosomal RNA", at positions 30 to 523 of the family's 1533-position model. The record is from RNAcentral.
AUUGAACGCUGGCGGCAGGCUUAACACAUGCAAGUCGAGCGGGGGAAGGUAGCUUGCUACCGGACCUAGCGGCGGACGGGUGAGUAAUGCUUAGGAAUCUGCCUAUUAGUGGGGGACAACAUCUCGAAAGGGAUGCUAAUACCGCAUACGGCCUACGGGAGAAAGCAGGGGAUCUUCGGACCUUGCGCUAAUAGAUGAGCCUAAGUCGGAUUAGCUAGUUGGUGGGGUAAAGGCCUACCAAGGCUACGAUCUGUAGCGGGUCUGAGAGGAUGAUCCGCCACACUGGGACUGAGACACGGCCCAGACUCCUACGGGAGGCAGCAGUGGGGAAUAUUGGACAAUGGGGGGAACCCUGAUCCAGCCAUGCCGCGUGUGUGAAGAAGGCCUCAUGGUUGUAAAGCACUUUAAGCGAGGAGGAGGCUACUCUAGUUAAUACCUAGGGAUAGUGGACGUUACUCGCAGAAUCAGCACCGGCUAACUCUGUGCCAGCCGCCGCAGUAA